This 204-nucleotide unclassified non-coding RNA is filed under the name soil metagenome. RNAcentral describes it as "partial contains 5.8S ribosomal RNA, internal transcribed spacer 2, and large subunit ribosomal RNA". The record is from RNAcentral.
AACCUUAUGGACCUGCGGGCGUAUACCUGCGGAGGGAUCAUUACCUAGAGUUGUAGGCUUUGCCUGCUAUCUCUUACCCAUGUCUUUUGAGUACCUUACGUUUCCUCGGUGGGUUCGCCCGCCGGUUGGACAAAACUUAAACCCUUUGUAGUUGCAAUCAGCGUCUGAAAAAACUUAAUAGUUACAACUUUUAGCAAUGGAUCU